RNAcentral lists this ribosomal RNA (494 nucleotides) under uncultured bacterium. RNAcentral describes it as "partial 16S ribosomal RNA". It matches the Rfam family "Bacterial small subunit ribosomal RNA", at positions 29 to 507 of the family's 1533-position model. The record is from RNAcentral.
ACGAACGCUGGCGGCGUGCCUAAUACAUGCAAGUAGAACGCUGAAGGAGGAGCUUGCUUCUCUGGAUGAGUUGCGAACGGGUGAGUAACGCGUAGGUAACCUGCCUGGUAGCGGGGGAUAACUAUUGGAAACGAUAGCUAAUACCGCAUAAUAGUAGAUGUUGCAUGACAUUUGCUUAAAAGGUGCAAUUGCAUCACUACCAGAUGGACCUGCGUUGUAUUAGCUAGUUGGUGGGGUAACGGCUCACCAAGGCGACGAUACAUAGCCGACCUGAGAGGGUGAUCGGCCACACUGGGACUGAGACACGGCCCAGACUCCUACGGGAGGCAGCAGUAGGGAAUCUUCGGCAAUGGACGGAAGUCUGACCGAGCAACGCCGCGUGAGUGAAGAAGGUUUUCGGAUCGUAAAGCUCUGUUGUAAGAGAAGAACGAGUGUGAGAGUGGAAAGUUCACACUGUGACGGUAGCUUACCAGAAAGGGACGGCUAACUACGUG